GACGAACGCUGGCGGCGUGCUUAACACAUGCAAGUCGAACGGAAAGGCCUCUUUCGGGGGGUACUCGAGUGGCGAACGGGUGAGUAACACGUGAGUAACCUGCCCUUGACUUUGGGAUAACUUCAGGAAACUGGGGCUAAUACCGGAUAGGAGCUCCUGCUGCAUGGUGGGGGUUGGAAAGUUUCGGCGGUUGGGGAUGGACUCGCGGCUUAUCAGCUUGUUGGUGGGGUAGUGGCUUACCAAGGCUUUGACGGGUAGCCGGCCUGAGAGGGUGACCGGCCACAUUGGGACUGAGAUAAGGCACAGACUCCUACGGGAGGCAGCAGUGGGGAAUAUUGCACAAUGGGUGGAAGCCUGAUGCAGCAACGCCGUGUGCGGGAUGACGGCCUUCGGGUUGUAAACCGCUUUCGCUCAUGACGAAGCUUUGUGUGACGGUAGUGGGUAAAGAAGCACCGGCUAACUACGUG
This 467-nucleotide ribosomal RNA is filed under the name uncultured bacterium. RNAcentral describes it as "partial 16S ribosomal RNA". It matches the Rfam family "Bacterial small subunit ribosomal RNA", at positions 28 to 507 of the family's 1533-position model. The record is from RNAcentral.